UCUACGAGUCGGUUCCGUUCAAUCACCACAAACAGUUGCCUCAAGGAAUCGAUUCAAGGAACCGACUCCUUCACAAACGACACAUCAUGUCUGUCAGAGGAAAGUCGGCGUGGAUGAAUGUGAUCUGCGAGUCGACUCCCUUCGUUCAUUUCAAACAGCUGACUGAAAGAACCGAAUGAAAGAACCGACUCCUUCACAAACGACACAUCACUGCCUUUUACCUGACCAGAGGAAACUCAGCUUGGAUGAAUAAGCCACUCGUUGGUGGAGAAUAAAUGGUUGGAAUUUGUCCGAGUUGUCGCUUUUCUGUGGUGUUCUACCCAUUUGGGGCUGCUCGAUGCUGAAAUGUCGCCACAUCAGACUGUUUGUGAUCGUGAUUCUGUCUUUAUACAUCGUCUGGACUCUUCCAUGAAGAAACUGGGGAAGGAGCUGACCACCACCAUCAGCUGACCUGCUCGAAGGACUUCAGGCCGCCCUCUUUCCCCAACCGCAUGAGGUCCUCUAGAAUGGCAUUUUUCACUUCCUGUCCAAAUAGGCAGAAAAAAAAGGGAAGUCUCACUUUAAACCACACACCAGACACACAGUAAUAUUCCACUGUGCUGUAGAACACAAAUGUUUAACACUCAUCCAUGCUUUUGUUUCUUUCUCACCCAGAUUACUUUAAUGCACUAUUACAGACCAGCUCCACUUUACUGGUCAGAAGGAGCUGAUUAAUUUCCUGUGUCAUGAUUAUAUCAGAGUGCUCUGCUUACACAGCUCGUGGUAGGAGCCCACAAGGCCUCUUUUCUUGGCCCAGCCUGGGAGGAUGUCAGGACUGUCUCCAUGAACGAAGACCUGAGCCACGGGGUCGCUGUGGAUGUAGAUGUUCUCGAUCUUCUCAGGAGCGAUGUACUCUCCCUGAGCCAGUUUAAAGAUGUGCUUCUUCCUGUCUAUGAUCUUCAGCGUGCCGUUCUGCGACAUAUGAUUAAAGAGGCUCUCCGAGUCCAGACAGCCCAAAAAUAAACCCAUAAGUGGCUGAAGAAUGUGGAAUUUACCGGAAGCCAUUUGCCGAUAUCACCCGUGUGCAGCCAGCCAUCUAUAUCGAUGGCCUCUGCCGUCUUCUCUGGAUCUUUCAGAGCUGCGUUUGCUCAAUCCAUCACAGUGAUGCUGGCAGCCCAUGUUCGCCAUAUUAUUUAUUGAUAGCGAGGAGAAAGUUAUGUGACGGAAGGAAGUAUGUGUAAUAUUUCACCUGGCAGCCGAGAGCAGCCCGCAGGAACGUCAGCACGGUGGGGGAAACGGGAGCGGCGCCGGUGAUCAUCAGCCUCACACGUCCACCCAGACUCACCUACGGAGAAAAAUGGUGGUUACUGGUACUUAAUCACAAUACAUGGAAUAGAUUUACUGUUUAGUGUUUUAAUCUGUCAAAAAUGUUCAGAUAGCUAAACAUUUAUCACUUCUCAUUUGCACCAAAUUCCAGAAGGUUCCCUAGUAAGCGUAUUGUGCGCUACAUAUGGUGUGUAAGAUGUGAUUCUCUAGCCAGUUAUGCAGGAAGUACAAAGCCAUUUGGGGUUUAUCUAUUUUAGAGCUGAUCUACAUUCGUCUGGCUUGUCUACAGCAUGUUCCAUCACUGUGCUGGUAUUGUCCCUGGUCUUUCUUAACCAGCUUGUUAACUAUACAGAUGAGUUUGUCCCACAUGCUGUCCUUCCUCACGAUGCCGCUGCGCAGCUCCGACUCUUUCCUCCUGGUGGCGAAGUCGAGCAGCCAGCGCUUCAGCGGAGUGUUCGCCUGCCCAAAGAUCUGAACACAAGAGAGACACAAGAGCGGCUGGUGAGGAAACGACUGUUUAUAGCUGCUACAGCGUAAGCAGGAACAGGAACUAACCACUCUUGCAGACGCUGCACAACAACUGUAACUAUUAACAUAUAAAUUGUAGUGCAGCAGAAGAGAAAUAAAAGGACUUCCUGUCAUAAAAAUAUCUUCAAAUUUAUGGUCAUUAAAAGAUUAUAAUAAAACAUAUAAAAUUAAGCCGAUUUCUACAAUUUUGUAUUAAUUUCAUGCUUAAAAUCUUGAACAGCUCUAUCAUGAAAGAUGAAAAAUCAUUUUAUUUUCAUGUAUAAAAAAAAAAUACAUGAAAGUAAUUAUGUAUAGAAAUAGUCUUAUUAUCUUACAUUUGUGUGUCAUAAUGAGAAAUAUAAGAUGAAUUACACUAUAUUAAAGAUGUACUUGAUAUUUUUUUGCAACCAGAGUGCAAUUCACUCGGCUCCCGGCACUUCAAACUGAAGUGAAGUGAAGACUAGUCUAAACAUUGAUGUCUUGUGCGAAUAGUUUGCGGUAAUAGUUUGUGGUAAUAGUUUGUCACAAAACAAAUCCACGCUGAACGAAUGAAUUUCUUCUAAGAGGAAUAUGUCUAUAUCUGAGCAUGAAAUGGUUACAGAAUUAUGAAAGCAGAAAGAUGAAGUGUGAAAAAUGCCUACACAUGACUGUUUUAUUCAUCAGGUUCGAAGUGUUAAAAUAUGCUAAUGAAUUCCCAGUGGCUUUAAACCGUGUGUCCUGAUACGAACCCUGCAUCAGAAAAGAUCAG
Long non-coding RNA from Pangasianodon hypophthalmus (striped catfish), 2560 nucleotides. RefSeq lists it as uncharacterized. Lineage: Eukaryota; Metazoa; Chordata; Actinopteri; Siluriformes; Pangasiidae. The transcript is spliced from 10 exons. The record is from RefSeq and is a predicted model, not a curated record.